GGUGGGGUUCCCGAGCGGCCAAAGGGAGCAGACUGUAAAUCUGCCGUCAUCGACUUCGAAGGUUCGAUUCGAGCGUAGCGAGAAAGCGUUGCCGCAGGCAACGACCCGAAGGGUGAGGAGCAAAGCGACGAAUUAUCCUUCCCCCACCACCA
RNAcentral lists this transfer RNA (152 nucleotides) under Leclercia adecarboxylata. RNAcentral's name for it is "tRNA-Tyr". It matches the Rfam family "RtT RNA". Rfam says of the family: This family represents a bacterial cis-regulatory element known as RtT RNA. The record is from RNAcentral. Lineage: Bacteria; Pseudomonadati; Pseudomonadota; Gammaproteobacteria; Enterobacterales; Enterobacteriaceae.